This 1421-nucleotide ribosomal RNA is filed under the name bacterium JP14(2012). RNAcentral's name for it is "bacterial SSU rRNA". It matches the Rfam family "Bacterial small subunit ribosomal RNA". The record is from RNAcentral.
GNGGCCUAACACAUGCAAGUCGAGCGGUAGCACAGAGAGCUUGCUCUCGGGUGACGAGCGGCGGACGGGUGAGUAAUGUCUGGGAAACUGCCUGAUGGAGGGGGAUAACUACUGGAAACGGUAGCUAAUACCGCAUAANGUCGCAAGACCAAAGUGGGGGACCUUCGGGCCUCAUGCCAUCAGAUGUGCCCAGAUGGGAUUAGCUAGUAGGUGGGGUAANGGCUCACCUAGGCGACGAUCCCUAGCUGGUCUGAGAGGAUGACCAGCCACACUGGAACUGAGACACGGUCCAGACUCCUACGGGAGGCAGCAGUGGGGAAUAUUGCACAAUGGGCGCAAGCCUGAUGCAGCCAUGCCGCGUGUGUGAAGAAGGCCUUCGGGUUGUAAAGCACUUUCAGCGGGGAGGAAGGCGNUNAGGUUAAUAACCUUGNCGAUUGACGUUACCCGCAGAAGAAGCACCGGCUAACUCCGUGCCAGCAGCCGCGGUAAUACGGAGGGUGCAAGCGUUAAUCGGAAUUACUGGGCGUAAAGCGCACGCAGGCGGUCUGUCAAGUCGGAUGUGAAAUCCCCGGGCUCAACCUGGGAACUGCAUUCGAAACUGGCAGGCUAGAGUCUUGUAGAGGGGGGGUAGAAUUCCAGGUGUAGCGGUGAAAUGCGUAGAGAUCUGGAGGAAUACCGGUGGCGAAGGCGGCCCCCUGGACAAAGACUGACGCUCAGGUGCGAAAGCGUGGGGAGCAAACAGGAUUAGAUACCCUGGUAGUCCACGCCGUAAACGAUGUCGAUUUGGAGGUUGUGCCCUUGAGGCGUGGCUUCCGGAGCUAACGCGUUAAAUCGACCGCCUGGGGGAGUACGGCCGCAAGGUUAAAACUCAAAUGAAUUGACGGGGGCCCGCACAAGCGGUGGAGCAUGUGGUUUAAUUCGAUGCAACGCGAAGAACCUUACCUGGGUCUUGACAUCCACAGAACUUUCCAGAGAUGGAUUGGUGCCUUCGGGAACUGUGAGACAGGUGCUGCAUGGCUGUCGUCAGCUCGUGUUGUGAAAUGUUGGGUUAAGUCCCGCAACGAGCGCAACCCUUAUCCUUUGUUGCCAGCGGUUAGGCCGGGAACUCAAAGGAGACUGCCAGUGAUAAACUGGAGGAAGGUGGGGAUGACGUCAAGUCAUCAUGGCCCUUACGACCAGGGCUACACACGUGCUACAAUGGCAUAUACAAAGAGAAGCGACCUCGCGAGAGCAAGCGGACCUCAUAAAGUAUGUCGUAGUCCGGAUUGGAGUCUGCAACUCGACUCCAUGAAGUCGGAAUCGCUAGUAAUCGUAGAUCAGAAUGCUACGGUGAAUACGUUCCCGGGCCUUGUACACACCGCCCGUCACACCAUGGGAGUGGGUUGCAAAAGAAGUAGGUAGCUUAACCUUCGGGAGGGCGC